RNAcentral lists this ribosomal RNA (245 nucleotides) under uncultured bacterium. Its description in RNAcentral is "partial 16S ribosomal RNA". It matches the Rfam family "Bacterial small subunit ribosomal RNA", at positions 118 to 347 of the family's 1533-position model. The record is from RNAcentral.
UGGGUAACCUGCCUCAAAGAGGGGAAUAACCUCCCGAAAGGGAGAUUAAUACCGCAUAAUAUGUUUAGGUCGCAUGACUUUAACAUCAAAGGAUUUUCUUUUAGAAAUUCCACUUUGAGAUGGACCCGCGGUGCAUUAGCUAGUUGGUGAGGUAACGGCUCACCAAGGCAACGAUACGUAGCCGACCUGAGAGGGUGAUCGGCCACAUUGGAACUGAGACACGGUCCAGACUCCUACGGGAGCAG